UUCGAAGCCAGUUCCUUAUCAGCCUACAAAUAUGACAGUGAUACUUAAGUUACAGCAAAAACUGCAUUCCCUAAUUGAAAAACUGCUGAGAUUAAGUAUACCCUCUCUGCAAGAACCCUAAUUUCAUAAGCAACUACAUACAAAGCCUCCAUAGCCCAAGCCGAUUCCCAAUUUCGAAACUCCUGAACAAAAGCACUGCAUUCCCAGCAGUGAGACACACAAAUGCUCUAAUUAAUCGUAAAAACUAAAAUAAUGCAGUACAAUUAACAAGUUUGGUGAAUUCAAAGUACGAAAUUGAAAAAGAAAAUUUAAAUCAAUACUUGGCAUCUUUUUCCAAGGCGGAGUAAGUAUCGAACAGGUUCCCAACUCAAUAACUUUGCAGAGAGCGGAAAAGAGAAGCUGUCCUUUCCCCAAAUUGAUAGUACUUGUCCGAUUGCUUAGUCAAUCUAUUAGCGUCUCAGAAGACGAUGAGAGCGUCAGCGAGGGCUAGCAGAGAAGGAGAAUUGAAGGAGAAAAAGAGGAGGUGUUUUGAGUGAAGCUCCGUCUUGUGAGAAAACCGCGUCGAAGAAGCGGUUAAGGUAGUCCGUUAUUCUUCGGUGUGCCUCUCCCAUGCUGAGGUCAGCCAUUCUCUGGUUGACGAAAUCAGAUGGAUCCAACAAUAUCUUGAUGAAGUUGAUGAAUCCUUCUCCUCCUCCUCCCCAUGUGAUCUAUAGCAGAGCUUUUUUUUUUCACUUGUGUUCUGCGGGCCUGUACAUGGUUCUCGGUCCGAACCGAUUGGAAUUGAACCAUAUU
Molecule: unclassified non-coding RNA, 792 nt
Filed under: Hevea brasiliensis (rubber tree)
Lineage: Eukaryota; Viridiplantae; Streptophyta; Magnoliopsida; Malpighiales; Euphorbiaceae
Source: RNAcentral